CGGGGUGGAGCAGCACGGUAGCUCGUCGGGCUCAUAACCCGAAGGUCGCAGGUUCAAAUCCUGUNUCUUUA
This 71-nucleotide transfer RNA is filed under the name Bacillus thuringiensis. Its description in RNAcentral is "tRNA-Met". The stretch from base 6 to 64 matches the Rfam family "tRNA", at positions 8 to 63 of the family's 71-position model. Rfam says of the family: Transfer RNA (tRNA) molecules are approximately 80 nucleotides in length. Their secondary structure includes four short double-helical elements and three loops (D, anti-codon, and T loops). Lineage: Bacteria; Bacillati; Bacillota; Bacilli; Caryophanales; Bacillaceae. The record is from RNAcentral.